Long non-coding RNA from Myotis davidii, 135 nucleotides. RefSeq lists it as uncharacterized. The record is from RefSeq and is a predicted model, not a curated record. Lineage: Eukaryota; Metazoa; Chordata; Mammalia; Chiroptera; Vespertilionidae. The transcript has 3 exons.
AUGCAGGACAUGGAAAAGAGAGAAACAGCCCCCCACAUUUGGUGCCCCGAACAGUGACUGAGUACGGAGGCAAAAGAAGAAAGCGAGGGGGUCACUCUCAGAAGCGUGUGCACACAACAGAUAGAAGAAGAACAG